GAUGAACGCUGGCGGCGUGCCUAAUACAUGCAAGUCGAGCGAACAGACGAGGAGCUUGCUCCUCUGACGUUAGCGGCGGACGGGUGAGUAACACGUGGAUAACCUACCUAUCAGACUGGGAUAACUUCGGGAAACCGGAGCUAAUACCGGAUAAUAUAUUGAACCGCAUGGUUCAAUAGUGAAAGACGGUUUUGCUGUCACUUAUAGAUGGAUCUGCGCCGCAUUAGCUAGUUGGUAAGGUAACGGCUUACCAAGGCAACGAUGCGUAGCCGACCUGAGAGGGUGAUCGGCCACACUGGAACGGAGACACGGUCCAGACUCCUACGGGAGGCAGCAGUAGGGAAUCUUCCGCAAUGGGCGAAAGCCUGACGGAGCAACGCCGCGUGAGUGAUGAAGGUCUUCGGAUCGUAAAACUCUGUUAUUAGGGAAGAACAAAUGUGUAAGUAACUAUGCACGUCUUGACGGUACCUAAUCAGAAAGCCACGGCUAACUACGUG
Molecule: ribosomal RNA, 497 nt
Filed under: uncultured bacterium
Lineage: Bacteria
Description: partial 16S ribosomal RNA
Rfam family: Bacterial small subunit ribosomal RNA
Source: RNAcentral